UCAACAAGUCUAACGCAAUAAAUAUGAAU
This 29-nucleotide small RNA is filed under the name Bombyx mori (domestic silkworm). RNAcentral's name for it is "ovarian small RNA-24534". The record is from RNAcentral. Lineage: Eukaryota; Metazoa; Arthropoda; Insecta; Lepidoptera; Bombycidae.